This is a long non-coding RNA of Canis lupus familiaris (dog), 948 nucleotides long. RefSeq lists it as uncharacterized. The record is from RefSeq and is a predicted model, not a curated record. The transcript has 2 exons. Lineage: Eukaryota; Metazoa; Chordata; Mammalia; Carnivora; Canidae.
GGCAACAAAGGGGGAAAAGAGAUAGGGUGACACGGCUGACUGUGGCAUUCACCUUCAGGUUCCCUCAAGUAGACGUUCAAAAAUGUAGAGGGUGACAGAGCGUCUAAGCAGGUAAAUGGGAGAAAUCCCCCAGAUGACUUAGGGUUAUACUAGGAGAGAUAACAGGACACUUCACCCAGAAGAUCUGCUUCCCACGUUCUUUACUGCCCCCCCUCCGUUACCUAACGAGGCUUCUACAAUCACAACAUGCUUCGACAGAGAGGCAAGAAGGGUGGUUAUUUGUAGAGAAUUACACUGUUCAUUCUAGAUCCUUGGAUAUAGAUCUGAAACAAGAAUCAUCAAACAUUUGAAUAUAUUUAUGAAACAAGAAUCACCAACGUAAUGGAAGAAAAACAACAACUCAACUGGAAAAAGAAACUCCAAAAAUAUAAUCGGGGAACAGUGAAAUGAAGAACAUUUCAAAUAUAUUACAUCAAUCUUCAGAGGGAUCGAAGAAAAAAUCAUACUCUUUGGGGAUCAAUGAGUGCCAGAGCUGGACCUCAGAAGGGCACACAAUGCCAGAAUGAAGCUUAUUCAGCAAGAGAAUCAGAGUCCUGGUUGAGCUGACAGAUAAAAGCCAUAUAUCCUCUAGCCUUAGACUUCAUGACAGACGCUAGCACAGUUACCAGCAACAGGGGAAAAGUGACACGAUUGCUGCGAAGUCAGUGAGGACCACGCACAGACCUCAGCUGGAGCUAUCAUUUUGAGAGAAUAAUUAGCAUAUGGAUGGCAGUUAAGGCUGAGACUAGCCGAGGUCACCAAGACAGUGACCUUUAGACACUGGACAGAGAGGACAAAGCAGCAAAAGAGACCAAAGAUCUACUAGUGAAGCUGGAGGAAAACCUGAAGAGUUUGGGGUUCUGUAAGCAACUGGGGAAUGUUAAGAGAAGAGUGACCUGCCAUAUCAAA